RNAcentral lists this ribosomal RNA (334 nucleotides) under uncultured eukaryote. Its description in RNAcentral is "partial 18S ribosomal RNA". It matches the Rfam family "Eukaryotic small subunit ribosomal RNA", at positions 1470 to 1796 of the family's 1831-position model. The record is from RNAcentral.
CCCUUAGAUGUUCUGGGCCGCACGCGCGCUACACUGACUGGCUCAGCGUGUGCCUACCCUCCGCCGGCAGGCGCGGGUAACCCGUUGAACCCCAUUCGUGAUGGGGAUCGGGGAUUGCAAUUAUUCCCCAUGAACGAGGAAUUCCCAGUAAGUGCGGGUCAUAAGCUUGCGUUGAUUAAGUCCCUGCCCUUUGUACACACCGCCCGUCGCUACUACCGAUUGGAUGGUUUAGUGAGGCCCUCGGAUCGGCCCCGCCGGGGUCGGCCCACGGCCCUGGCGGAGCGCUGAGAAGACGGUCGAACUUGACUAUCUAGAGGAAGUAAAAGUCGUAACA